ACGUAGGGGGCGAGCGUUAUUCGGAAUUACUGGGUGUAAAGGGUAUGUAGGCGGCCAUUCAAGUCGCGUGUCAAAGUCCAGUGCUCAACGCAGGGUGUGCACGCGAUACUGACGGGCUUGAGGGCGGGAGAGGUGAGCGGAAGUCCCGGGGUAGUGGUGAAAUUCUGAGAGAUCGGGAGGAACACCUGCGGCGAAGGCGACUUACUAGAUCGUUUCUGACGCUAAGCUGCGAAAGCGUGGGGAGCAUACAG
RNAcentral lists this ribosomal RNA (251 nucleotides) under uncultured prokaryote. RNAcentral describes it as "partial 16S rRNA". It matches the Rfam family "Bacterial small subunit ribosomal RNA", at positions 525 to 775 of the family's 1533-position model. The record is from RNAcentral.